Molecule: ribosomal RNA, 1359 nt
Filed under: uncultured beta proteobacterium
Lineage: Bacteria; Pseudomonadati; Pseudomonadota; Betaproteobacteria
Description: 16S ribosomal RNA
Rfam family: Bacterial small subunit ribosomal RNA
Source: RNAcentral
UGAACGCUGGCGGCAUGCCUUACACAUGCAAGUCGAACGGCAGCACGGGUGCUUGCACCUGGUGGCGAGUGGCGAACGGGUGAGUAAUACAUCGGAACAUGUCCUGUAGUGGGGGAUAGCCCGGCGAAAGCCGGAUUAAUACCGCAUACGAUCUACGGAUGAAAGCGGGGGACCUUCGGGCCUCGCGCUAUAGGGUUGGCCGAUGGCUGAUUAGCUAGUUGGUGGGGUAAAGGCCUACCAAGGCGACGAUCAGUAGCUGGUCUGAGAGGACGACCAGCCACACUGGGACUGAGACACGGCCCAGACUCCUACGGGAGGCAGCAGUGGGGAAUUUUGGACAAUGGGCGAAAGCCUGAUCCAGCAAUGCCGCGUGUGUGAAGAAGGCCUUCGGGUUGUAAAGCACUUUUGUCCGGAAAGAAAUCCUUGGCUCUAAUACAGUCGGGGGAUGACGGUACCGGAAGAAUAAGCACCGGCUAACUACGUGCCAGCAGCCGCGGUAAUACGUAGGGUGCGAGCGUUAAUCGGAAUUACUGGGCGUAAAGCGUGCGCAGGCGGUUUGCUAAGACCGAUGUGAAAUCCCCGGGCUCAACCUGGGAACUGCAUUGGUGACUGGCAGGCUAGAGUACGGCAGAGGGGGUAGAAUUCCACGUGUAGCAGUGAAAUGCGUAGAGAUGUGGAGGAAUACCGAUGGCGAGCAGCCUCCUUGGGCAAUACUGACCGCUCAUGCACGAAAGCGUGGGGAGCAAACAGGAUAGAAUACCUGUAGUCCCACGCCUAACGAUGUCACUAGUGUUGAGGAUUCAUUUCCUUAGUAACGUAGCUAACGCGUGAAGUUGACCGCCUGGGGAGUACGGUCGCAAGAUUAAAACUCAAAGGAAUUGACGGGGACCCGCACAAGCGGUGGAUGAUGUGGAUUAAUUCGAUGCAACGCGAAAAACCUUACCUACCCUUGACAUGGUCGGAAUCCUGCUGAGAGGCGGGAGUGCUCGAAAGAGAACCGGCGCACAGGUGCUGCAUGGCUGUCGUCAGCUCGUGUCGUGAGAUGUUGGGUUAAGUCCCGCAACGAGCGCAACCCUUGUCCUUAGUUGCUACGCAAGAGCACUCUAAGGAGACUGCCGGUGACAAACCGGAGGAAGGUGGGGAUGACGUCAAGUCCUCAUGGCCCUUAUGGGUAGGGCUUCACACGUCAUACAAUGGUCGGAACAGAGGGUUGCCAACCCGCGAGGGGGAGCUAAUCCCAGAAAACCGAUCGUAGUCCGGAUUGCACUCUGCAACUCGAGUGCAUGAAGCUGGAAUCGCUAGUAAUCGCGGAUCAGCAUGCCGCGGUGAAUACGUUCCCGGGUCUUGUACACACCGCCC